CCCGCGCGCCCGCUCCGCCGCGCCGCCCCGCCCCGCUGGGCCCGGCGUGGGCAGGGCGUCCAGAGCGGGUGUCUGCCGGAGGGGCGGCGGACCCUCGGUCCACAGGGAAAAGGAGGGGACUGUGAAGACUGGAGAAGGCACGAGGGUCCCCGCCCCCCAACCCUGAGCACCCUUUCUGGAUGCGGAGCCCCUGCUGCCGUAGUCCCAAUUCCUGCUUGGCCCACGGUGGGAGUGGGCGCUCCUCUUCCGCCGGUUGUUUCCCUUGUCUUCUCACUACCUCCCUCCACCCGGGCCCCCCUCAGGCCUUGCGCCCGAAUUUGGACCUAGAGACAGGAUCCGAGAGGAACAGGCUGUGUUUCAGCUGGCGGGCUGUGCAGACCCGCCAGCGCGUCGGAAAGCUCCAAGUCUGGGCCCUGGCUCCUGAGCACCCUUCAGGGUCUGGACGGGACUCAUGCCUGUUUGUGCAUCAGAACACUGUUAGGCCUGAGAAGCCAAGAAAGAAGUAGAGGCCCCAGGAAGGGAAAGGAGGAAACUCCCGGCAGAGGAGCUGUCAGGAAAGUCAGCGCAGCAGGCCUGGCUCCACGGGCUCCGCUUGGGUGAUUUCUGAGCUGGGGGACCCUUCUUUAAGGGAUCAUCAGGUGAAAAACACGUACAGCUUGGAAAGAUGGGCAUCCCAGGUGCUCUGUGAAACGGUGGGAGUGCAAGCGGGCAUGCCCAUGUGAAAACAAGAUCGUGUCGGGUGGGUCCUGAGGCCCAGGCACUGGAGGAGACACAUCUCCCUGUGUCCUGCCACUGAAUGUCCCAUGUCUGGACAGCCCUGAAGUGCGCUGUGACCUCCAACAGGGUAUGUACCUCCCGGCAGUAACCAGUCUUGAGUCGGACCCUGACGUGGGAGCUCUGUGUCGGCUAACUCAGAAUCAUCCUCACUCCGUCGGUGGUUCAGUUUUCACGCCCCUACAGGGAGUGGGGGGGAGUGGUGUGCAGGGUCAGGCACAGGUGGGAGCUGUGGCACAGCAUUCCGCCCAGGCCCUGCGCCCCCACCUGUGUAGCAUUCCCCGAACUUGUCUGACGGAGGAAGCCCUUUACGCAGCACACAGCGUCUUACAGGAACUCCCGUUUUCAGGAAGAUGGUUUCAGCAGCGCUGCAGUGACUGAUGCGAGCCCAGCAGAGAGCAUUGGUUUAUCAGACUUGCUGUGAAUGGAGCGGUGAGCAUACAUUGAGAGGAGGGGAAAAUGUGAUCUAAAACACAAGGCAGUAGAUUUCAAAGGAUAGUCUGCAGCCUUGUCACUCGGAGUGUGGUCCCCAGACCAGCAGCAUCGACACCCCUAAGGAGCUUGUUAAAAAUGCAGAGCCUCAGAGCACACCCCACGCCUACCUUACGUGCGGGCACCUGCAUCUUGACCGACUCCCCCUUCGCUCCACCUCUGUCCUCGGGGCAUCUGCCUCAGAAUCCUAGGGAGGCUCCUGAACUAUGCAGAGUCCUGGUUUCUGCCUGAGGCCUGCUGACGUGGAGCUUGGAGAAUGGGGCCUGGGACCUGGCCUUGUAACAAUGUCUUGGGGUGACGUUCACGCACACUAGCGUUUGAGAACCACUGGCCUGUCCCACAGGCAACAAGCAGCUCCCGGGAGCCUCCUAAAAAUGCUACUUCCUGGGCCGCCCCUGGAUCUACUGAGUCUGGGCGUCUAGGGGCCGAGCCUGGGAAUCAGCACGAGGAUGAUGGUGAAACGGACACAGCUGCCCUGAGGCGGGACUCCAGCCAGCUCUGCUCUGCCCAGCAUCCUGGGGCUAUGCCCACUGGGAGGAGGAGCUGUGAUCUCCGCCCCUGGAUCAAGAGCCCUAGAGAAAAGUGUGCUUUUGUUUCUAGGAGAGAUUAAGAAAAUGCAUUUGGGAGGGUAGCCUAUGAGUGGCUGUUUGCUCUCGACACCUGUAAACUGUUGACUGUAAUUGGACCACAGAUGUUCCCUGAGCCUGAUAGCUUUCUCUCCUCCGGCCGUGGAGGGGAGUCUGGGGAGGGGUUCUUCUCUAGUAGGAAAUUGAAUGAUUGUAUUGGGGCUGCAUUUCCUUGCCUUCCUCUGAUUUAAUCUGUUUUUCUCCAUUUAUCAUUAUUAUUUUCGACACUUCAGUGUUAGACAAAAAGCUGUUUUGUAAAGAAAGCAGGGGGAUGUUAGCAAAAGGUGUGUUCAUAGAAUCAAACAGAAUCUUUGUGGGCAAAUGAAGGUAUUCAAAGUCCUGCAGAAAUGGAUGAAAUCCUCCUGCCCUCCAGCUCAAGGAGACCUCCCAGCGUGGAACAGAGAAGAGCAAUCUCACAGGAGAAAGCAGGAGAGAGGCGCUGUGUGGAAGGUCUGCGAGUCAUCAUCUCCCAUAAUCCUCACACACAAAAGAGGUGAUGUCUGCACGUUCCACAGACAGAAAACGGACCUGGAGAUGUGGAACAGCCUGCCCGGGGCAUGAGCUGCAUCUCUCAAGUCCAUCCCCUCCCCUCCAGCUACCCAUCGGAGCCCCAUCAUCUCUCACCUGGAUCCCUGCGCAGCCUCACUCCUCUCCCUGCAAACCCGGCCCCACGGGGACCACUGAAACUUGCAUCAGAGAACAUCACGUGAUGCCCUGCUUCAAGCCCUCAGGCUGGACCCUCUCGGAACCUCGAUGCUCUCUCCAUGGCCCACAGGUCCUGUGCCAUCUGGCCCCUCCGCCCCCUCCCCCUCGCUCUGCCCUUGCUAUCUGGAGCAUUCUGCCCCAGGUCUAGGCAAGGCCGACUGCUGCUCAGAGAUGCCCUGCAGGGCCCCCAGCAAGGCUGCUCGCCCACCUCUCCUCAGCCAGGACCUUUCACACCUAUCACAUCCCUCUGGUUCUGUCUGUCUGAUGUCUGCAGUGCAGCAGGGGCCUCUCUGCCCGGCCCCCUGCCCUCUCCCCAGCUCCCGGAUGGUGCCGGCCCAGGCUCAGCAAACAUCUGAAUAAAUGAAUGUCUGAGUGGAUGACUGGGAAAGCUGGGAGAGAAGGUGCAGUCUCCUGGGACUUAACCUUGGGGGAGUGGGGAGGGGUCCGUGAUGCCACGCUGCCUGAACUCCUGCCCCACGCCUGGGAAGAAGGAAUACCGGUGGUUUUUCUUCUUUCUUCUGUGAACUCCGGGGCAGAAUGAGAGCCAGGGCCGGGGGGAGGGUGGUUCAGCUGAAUGUGGCAACAACAAGGGGUUAGGAAGACAUCAGGGGGGAGAGGAAGGAGGAUGAUAAAAUGCAUGUCGGGGAAGAGGAACCAAUUAAACAGUCAACUAAAUAAUAUUAGAUUUAGAGGAGGGAGAAAAUGGAGAUGUUGGAAAUAUGAGUAGACUGAGUGGCAAUAAAACAGGAGAGAGACCAAGAAAAUGGGGAAAAAGUAGAAAUGGACUUUCUGAGUUAAAGCAUCCGCCUGGGCCUGGAGACUGCGCAGCCGGGAUGCCCCUUUGGCUCAGCCGCUCAGGCAUCCCGGAGGAAUCGGGUUUCACCUGUAGGCUCACUGGUUGGAUGCUUUCAAAUUCCAUUUAACCCGGUUUGAUCAUCGAAUUUUGGGGGAUUGCUGCUGGUCACCUCCAGAGCACAAGCCCCUGCCGGCUGGACUCCUUGGGGGUGGGGCAGGGUUCCCCGCCCAGCCCCAGUCUGCUCAAGUGCAGCCAAGACAAGUGUCCUGUCCUCAAGAAGCAAGCCCUCUGUUCACCUUCACGAGCUGGGGCCCCACUUUGCUUUCUGGGUCUGUGGUUGAAGCUUCACAGAGAAGAAGCUGCAGAGGCAGACGGACGAAGCCGCCUGCUCAAGGACACAACCCCCCUGGGAGCCGCUUCUUUGGGAGAAGGCAGGGCCCUCACACUUCAGUUGAGCAACAGGGUCACCUGACAAGCAUUUUAAAAACAUGAGUGCUUGGACCUCAGACCAGCCCCAUAGGGUCACGUCCAGCAACUCUGUUCUUGACGUUCCCCAGAUGAACUUAAAUGCACACCGGUGGUUGGGCAUUAAACCCCUUCUGAGUGUUUCUAUCUCAAUGCCUUAGUGUGACUUAAUUUUUGAUAUUUUUCUAGUAAAGGGGCUUCCAUGGGUUGGGAAAGUGAACACUUGAUUGAUGGAAGGAAAGGUGGCAGGGGCUCCAGAGGUGACUGAUUUCACCUGUCUGGGUGGGGUACGACAGAGGGAUUCUGGGGAUGGCUGCAGGGGCCUCAAGGCCGCUGGGCAAUAUGUGUGAAACGGGGAAGAGCUCUGAUGGAAGGAAGUGAGGGACGUGCAGAUGUGGUCACCCACCUACUCCGCAGGCGACCAGCUCUCAGCCCAAAUUCCUAGAGCCGAUCCCUCAGAGCAAGAUUCCUCCCACAGGAAAUGGACCAGAACUGGAUCUCAGGCUGCACACAGCAGAGGUGAGCGCUGGGUGGUGUGGAGACGGGUGCUGGGGCAUCAGAGGAUGCGAUGGGAGGUGCAAAGUAAACCAGUAGGUCAAGACCCUUCUCUGCCCCAACAACUGCAGAAAGGAGGGGCCCCCAGGGUCCCGUGCAGGGCGCCAGCAGAAGGCCGAGUGCUGUGCAGCAGCUGAUGGCUGCGUUGCCGGGCAGGCCGGGUGAGAAUGAGCAGCAUCUCUGACAUCCGGGCAGCUCUGUCAUUUCCUGAGCCCUUUCUCAGGCAUCACCCCAUCCACUUGCUGCCACCUCAUUUCGCAGAUGAGGAAACUAAGGCUCAGACACGGGAAACGGCCCAGUGGGAGUUAGGCAGCUCAUUGGAAACAGAACAGGGAGACCACAGAAGUCUGCUCAUAGCCCAGGGGUCCUCCCCAGGGAGGCAUUUUAGCUCCACAGCUAUAACGCAGAAAGUGGCUUCUUCUGGAGUAUUCCCAAACUAAGAAGAAGAAGAGCAGAAACUGGAGAGCUAACCUAGAUCACGGUUGUUUUCCACGGACUCUACGGUCUCAGGACCCAGGACCACGGAUGCCCGCCUUCUAAACCAAAGAGGAGGAGGGCCUGUUUGAUCCACCAACCAGUGUCUUCCCUUAGCGAGCUUGGGCUGGUGUGCACAGGUGGACGAGACGGCAGGGCUUUGGCUGGGAGAAAUUGCGCCCCGUCCAGGCCCAUGUGUCCGUCGGGGCUGGCUCCUCUGAAUUCAUUGACCCCUCAGGACUCCGAUGAUGCACAGGUGCUACACGAUGUCCAGGGGUGCCGCUGGGGACAAGAGACUGGCCCCUGUCUCCGUGGACCACACCAUCCAGAGGGGAGUUAGAAUACAGACCCUGGGCGAGGAAGUGGGAAGCUCAGCGAGGCGUGCGUGGCAACAACGCCUUAUACUUUCACACCUGGUGUUUCAAGUGCUCCUCACAACCUCCCUGUUAGAAAAGUGGGACUUGCAGUGUCAGCCUCAAUUUACAGGAUUCGGGAACUGGCAAGGAUGAAGCACUCUGCAUUUAUAAAUAGUCUCCUUCUUUUUGGGAU
RNAcentral lists this long non-coding RNA (5436 nucleotides) under Equus caballus (horse). RNAcentral's name for it is "lncRNA (ENSECAG00000051925.1)". Lineage: Eukaryota; Metazoa; Chordata; Mammalia; Perissodactyla; Equidae. The record is from RNAcentral.